RNAcentral lists this long non-coding RNA (213 nucleotides) under Olea europaea (common olive). RNAcentral describes it as "long non-coding RNA (OEUR_LNC010777)". Lineage: Eukaryota; Viridiplantae; Streptophyta; Magnoliopsida; Lamiales; Oleaceae. The record is from RNAcentral.
UGGAUGAAACUAGACAGCGAUUCUGUCCAAUUUAAUAAAUUGCAUAGUUUCAACCUUGACAUGUUUGUUAAUAAGGCUUGGAAUAUUAAUUUUCAUAAGUGUUAAGUCGUUAGAAAUAAUUAGUUACGCUAACAUUCACAGUCAAGCUUAAAAAACAAUGGGAUUUAUGAUAUUGUUUUAGAGUACAAUCAGCAACUUGAAGUGAUAAUGUUG